GGCGCCGUAGCACAAUUGGUUAGCGCGCCUGCCUUUAACCCAGAGGUAAUGUGUUCAAGGCUCAUCGGUGCAG
RNAcentral lists this transfer RNA (73 nucleotides) under Ciona intestinalis (vase tunicate). It matches the Rfam family "tRNA". From Rfam's summary of the family: Transfer RNA (tRNA) molecules are approximately 80 nucleotides in length. Their secondary structure includes four short double-helical elements and three loops (D, anti-codon, and T loops). The record is from Rfam by way of RNAcentral. Lineage: Eukaryota; Metazoa; Chordata; Ascidiacea; Phlebobranchia; Cionidae.